AAGCCCGACAAGACAACCGUUUUAUACACGGCGAGGUUGGAGUUGUGAUGUUUCCGUUAUUUUUCCAAGAUCCUCUGUGGGAGAGCCUUUCCUGGUCCGCCAUGUCUUGUGCUGUGUUUUUUGUUUUUUUUUGGAAUGAUUGCGUUUGUUCCAUAGCGUUAUCAUAGACGAGUGCGAGCGCCGUGUGACCUCAUUGCAGUUUUAAAGAGUAGCACCAUUUUGCUAAAUUCAGAGGCGGGCGCAUCAGUUCAUUUUGCCGGCCCGUCCUUCUCCAGCGGCCGGGACGCCCGUCAGUCCGUCUUUCUCAAUCUGUCAUUCUUUCAAGCCCAACCAAAUUCCGUCAUCGUUGCUUUCACGGCGCUUCCGUCGUUGCUCAACGAGAGUUCGGCGCUGCUAUUUGAAGUCACUUGUCUGUCAGUCCUUCAUGGUUAAAUAUAAAAAUAAUUCAAUAUGUAAAUGGUUCAGGAAAAUCUUAAAUUCAUUGAACGGAUGAUUUUAUUCAGGAGGCUACUCAAAUGUCAUGGCCCCAAAAACCCGGAGUCUCCCCUCCACCGGAACGGUUCGACCCAACCUGUCAUCUGCCACCAAGCAUCACGUCACUUGAAAACAAUGUCAAAGGAAGUUCAGGAUUGAGAACGUCUGAUGUUGAUCAUUUUUGUGCACAGUGUAUUCAUUAAUAAUGUAUUUCGUUUUGUUUGUUUGUUUUUUGUUGUUUUUAAUAAGUCAGACAAUGAAAGCACAGCACUCCGUUAUAGUCAGUCGGUCCCGACCCGGUUACUGACGAUGACGUUAACGGUUGGAAAGCCACUUCCGUCGCUGCUUGGUCCGUCCCUUUCUCAACGUUUCCAGUCAAUUGUUGGCAAAACGGGCGUCCGUCGUUGACGGGUUGUCGGACCUUCUCACCUCAGGUUGAACUAAACCAAACGCACGAACAAUACGGUCUAGUUUUUUUUUUCUGUCUUCCCCUCAUCAAGGAGAACUCAAGGCUGCUUAGUCUUGACCUGAGAAUCGAAAGCUAUUUCUGGGAGAUGAUUUCUCAGCCAUGCGACACCCCCCCCCUCCCCCCCACCAAACAAAAUCAUGUCAUCCAUCUGCGGCGUUUAAUGAAGCCGUGAUAUCUUGGUACGAGUCCAUUGGCACCUAACUGGAAACGGUUUUCCUAUUAUAUGAAUGCUCUCGAUGUCGAGUUUGCGUUUCCAAAUGUUCUAAGUGGAAUCCGCAAGCUGUGUCCCUGACGCAGAACUGCUCUUUGACUUUGGUCUGUAAUCAAAAUGUUCACGUCACUUGGGAAAUAGGCCUUUUUCAAUUUGCUUUGGAACGAGUUGAGAUUUUGCAGGCCUAAAUUAUUCAAUAAGCCGGCCAAAUGAAAAAUGUGAACCGAUCUUGUGUGUUGUGCAUCAGCACGCGGCUGAUGUGGCUCAGCAUGGAGGUUAACGGGGAAUCAUUUGGACUUUCACUCCUGUCGGCUGAUGAUGUCUGUUGUCUGUCAUUCCUCUUGUUAUACUGUCUUACAGCUAAUGUGUAUGAAAGUGCGGUUAUAUUUAUGAAAUAAAUACAUUUUUAAGCAAGA
Long non-coding RNA from Hippocampus comes (tiger tail seahorse), 1570 nucleotides. RefSeq lists it as uncharacterized. The transcript is spliced from 2 exons. Lineage: Eukaryota; Metazoa; Chordata; Actinopteri; Syngnathiformes; Syngnathidae. The record is from RefSeq and is a predicted model, not a curated record.